CCUACGAGAGGCAGCAGUCGAGAAUCAUUCACAAUGGGGGAAACCCUGAUGGUGCGACGCCGCGUGGGGGAAUGAAGGUCUUCGGAUUGUAAACCCCUGUCAUGUGGGCGCAAAUGAAAAAGAUAGUACCACAAGAGGAAGAGACGGCUAACUCUGUGCCAGCAGCAGCGGUAAUACAGAGGUCUCAAGCGUUGUUCGGAAUCACUGGGCGUAAAGCGUGCGUAGGCUGUUGCGUAAGUCGUGUGUGAAAGGCGCGGGCUCAACCCGCGGACGGCACAUGAGACUGUGAGGCUAGAGUGAUGGAGUGGGAGCCGGAAUGGUCGGUGUAGCAGUGAAAGGCGUAGAUAUCGAAAGGAACACUCGUGGCGAAGGCGGGUUCCUGGACAUUAACUGACGCUGAGGCACGAAGGCCAGGGGAGCGAAAGGGAUUAGAUACCCGGGUAGUC
RNAcentral lists this ribosomal RNA (446 nucleotides) under uncultured bacterium. RNAcentral describes it as "partial 16S ribosomal RNA". It matches the Rfam family "Bacterial small subunit ribosomal RNA", at positions 338 to 795 of the family's 1533-position model. The record is from RNAcentral.